AUGCCUCCCCAAGUGGCAGAAUUGCUCAGCCGCUACAAGGAAGUAUUUGAUGAACCAACGGGGUUGCCCCCAAAACGGGCGUGUGAUCACCGCAUACCCCUGCUACCAGGCGCCCAACCCUUUGCUAUCCGUCCCUACCGCUACUCCCCAGCCCUCAAGACAGAAAUCGAGCGACAAGUGCCUGACCUCCUGCGGAAAGGGAUCAUACAGAUCAGUCAAAGCCCCUUUUCCUCACCCGUGGUCCUGGUGCGCAAGAAGGACCUGACUUGGCGCUUGUGCGUUGAUUACCGGCGUCUCAACGCCCUGACAUGCAAGACAACCUUCCCAAUCCUAGUCACUGACGAGCUCUUGGAUGAGCUAUCUGGUUCACGCUGGUUCUCUAAGUUGGACCUCCGUUCGGGGUACCAUCAAAUCCGGUUGGCAGAAGGCGAGGCACCGAAGACGGCCUUCCAGACACACAGCGGGCACUACGAAUACAGAGUCAUAUCCUUCGGGCUUGCCUAUACACCAGCUACCUUCCAGGGAGCGAUGAAUGUCACCCUAUCACCUGUGUCCCGCAAAUGUGUGCUCGUCUUCUUCGACGACAUCCUGGUAUUCAGUGCUACCUUUGAAGAUCACAUGAGAGACUUGGAAGAGGUGCUCGGGCUGUUAAAGAAAGAUCAAUGGCAAGUGAAUGAAUCCAAAUGCCUGUUUGCGCAACAGCAACUGACGUACUUGGGCCACCACAUCAGCGCGGAAGGGGUUGAAGGAAAUAUGCCCUAG
RNAcentral lists this ribosomal RNA (762 nucleotides) under Triticum aestivum (bread wheat). RNAcentral's name for it is "partial small subunit ribosomal RNA". Lineage: Eukaryota; Viridiplantae; Streptophyta; Magnoliopsida; Poales; Poaceae. The record is from RNAcentral.